This 492-nucleotide ribosomal RNA is filed under the name uncultured bacterium. RNAcentral describes it as "partial 16S ribosomal RNA". It matches the Rfam family "Bacterial small subunit ribosomal RNA", at positions 29 to 507 of the family's 1533-position model. The record is from RNAcentral.
AGUGAACGCUGGCGGUAUGCCUAACACAUGCAAGUCGAACGGCAGCACAGUAAGAGCUUGCUCUUACGGGUGGCGAGUGGCGGACGGGUGAGGAAUACAUCGGCAUCUACUUUUUCGUGGGUGAUAACGUAGGGAAACUUACGCUAAUACCGCAUACGACCUACGGGUGAAAGCAGAGGAUCUUCGGACCUUUCGCGAUUGUAUGAGCCGGUGUCGGAUUAGCUAGUUGGCGGGGUAAAGGCCCACCAAGGCGACGAUCCGUAGCUGGUCUGAGAGGAUGAUCAGCCACACUGGAACUGAGACACGGUCCAGACUCCUACGGGAGGCAGCAGUGGGGAAUAUUGGACAAUGGGCGCAAGCCUGAUCCAGCCAUACCGCGUGGGUGAAGAAGGCCUUCGGGUUGUAAAGCCCUUUUGUUGGGAAAGAAAAGCAGCAGGUUAAUACCCCGCUGUUCUGACGGUACCCAAAGAAUAAGCACCGGCUAACUUCGUG